Pseudophryne corroboree (corroboree frog) is the source of this 2182-nucleotide long non-coding RNA. RefSeq lists it as uncharacterized. NCBI's taxonomy places the organism in Eukaryota, Metazoa, Chordata, Amphibia, Anura, Myobatrachidae. The transcript is spliced from 4 exons. The record is from RefSeq and is a predicted model, not a curated record.
UGUAUGUGAUGGUAUGAACUAAUUGUAAAUGUAUAUAAUUGUAUGAUAUGUAUGAUAUAAACUACACAUGGGUGUGAAGUCCAGAACAAUAAUAGCCCAGGUUUAUAGGGAUAUGGACCAUGGGGAUCAAAGUGGCAUGAGCUGGGCUUGAGACUUUUCUAGAAGUACCUCAUGCAGGGAAGUUAAGUGCCCGCAUGCCAAAGAUGAGCUGAGAGAGCUGGAGGGAGAGACGACAGUUAAACGGACGGAGAAGGUGUGCCUGGGACUCAGCUGGAGGAGACAGAGCUGUGUACUGCCUGAGGACUCUAAAAAGUGCGACAGACCUGGCUCUGGACGGCGGCUCUGGGGGAGAGAGACUGAUCAAGUUCCCCGGCGGCCCCCGGUGAAGUGGAUAGCGAGACUCAGUGUGGCCGUCUGCGGCGAGCGGCAACGGGCUCCGACAUUAGCAAAUCCCGCUGGGCGGAGCGGAAGAGGAGUCUCCUGAUCGUGACCCCGUGUGGCGGUGGGCAGCGAGAUUGGUGAGUCCACAGCCACGCUAUCCCUCGCUGGGCGGAUCAAGAGGCGGAGCUGCCCCACAAAUCAGGCCCCAAAGUGGUCAGUGACAGUGGGAGGUGGCCGGGAGCGGCGAGUGACAGCGGGAGGCGGGUCUGAAAGCUUCCCUCAGCAGGCUGCACUCCGUAGACUAAACCAGGGACAGCCCCGAUGAGGCGGAACAGGAGUGCCUUGUAAAAUUAUCUCCUACUGAGCUCCCGCAGCAGCACCCCUGUUAUAGAUACAACCAAUUACAUUAUACAGCUAACCCCAGAUACAAUGGUACAUUUAUUGAGCUUAGGCCCAUGAAGUCCAGUACCAGAAUAAUUCAUCUUAAACAGCGCAGACAUGAUUAUUGACAGGCUAUAGGGAUGGGACUGGUUAUGUGUGCCUAAUGGAAUGUAACUGGCAGCUUGAAUACUACUGCAUACUUCCCUGUAUGCUUUCAUCCUAUGCAUCACACUGCUGUCUACAAAGACUCUACUAACUGUUUCAUUGCCAGCUAGACAGCAACUAAUUGCAUGCUCUCCCUUUUUCGCUAUCAGAAGGUUCCUAGGAAUAGAACAGGAUUAUUAAUUCGCCACGUAAUUGACCCUGGAAGACAUUAUUACUCUCCACAAGUUAUUAUAGGGAGACAAGAAUUUGAGAGUAAAUCCAAGCGCUAUUGUUGACGACUCACAUGGGUUAAUUUCUGAGAUAGAAACAGAUUCAACCGACUAGAGAUACAUUGUUUCUACAUACGCAGGAUAUUGUGCUGCUACGGCCUGGAUAGCUUACUAACUCUUAGUGACUAGUAGUUUGGUACACUAUUUACAAUACCACUAUUGGAUUUUAAAACAACAGUUGUGGCCACACCUAACCAUUGAACUUUAAAGUGAUCACUUAAGGUCGCCUGUCCGGUGUAUUCACGAGAUCCUGAUCCUGGAGAGUCCUGUACCGUGAGGGCAACCUGAAAACCAAGAAAGUACCGGAUUAAGUAGGGGUGGCUGAAGGGGACAAGCUGGCAGGACUAUUGUCCAGGAUGUCCAUGAGGUAAGCUGCCAGCACUGCACCGCCAUCUGUUAAGAGGCACGCUCUGCAUUGUCUAUUUCAAAUGUCAACCAACAGCCACUGAGCAUCAGGACCCAGCAGUCCUCGGGGCAUCUUUCCUCCAUCACACCACUGAUGAAGGGGCCAUGAAGAGGAACACUGUAGGCUAUCAAGAAGAGGUAAUGCUGGGACUCCAUCUUCCUCUGAGACCAAAACCAGGAACUGAACUGGCAGCAAGUUCAUCAUCCUCUGAGACCAAAAAGCCCCUGAGCUCCUGUGUAAUCAAUGUGUUAUCUAGUUUCUGGGGGAGGGGUUCACGAUGAGUCACCAGUUCCUUUGCAUAUGCUGAUCAGGUUCAGCCUUGAAGACAUCCAAAGGGCUGGCCUGAGUUUCCUGUCCUCUACCUGUUUGGAAUAUCUAUUGUUCUAAUAAUAGUGAUUUUAGCUUUUAUACAUGUAAUCAUAACUAUUCGCUGCAAUGUCCCACAACUUCACUACAAGCAUCAAAUGAAUCUACACAUCAAUCUGGUUGCUUCAAUAGUAAACAUGACCGGUCUAUUUUGUUUCGUUCAAAUAAUACACAUACAUGACAUUACUUCAAUAUAUAUAAUUUUAAAUCAUCA